Unclassified non-coding RNA from Callithrix jacchus (white-tufted-ear marmoset), 146 nucleotides. It matches the Rfam family "Metazoan signal recognition particle RNA". Rfam says of the family: The signal recognition particle (SRP) is a universally conserved ribonucleoprotein. It is involved in the co-translational targeting of proteins to membranes. The record is from Ensembl. Lineage: Eukaryota; Metazoa; Chordata; Mammalia; Primates; Cebidae.
GCUGGGCAUGGUGGCGCGUGCCUGUAAUCCCAGCUACUUGGGAGGCUGAGACAGGAGAAUUGCUUGAACCCAGGAGGCGGAGGUUGCAGUGAGCCGAGAUCGUGCCACUGCACUCCAGCCUGUGAUAGAGCAAGACUCUGUCUCAA